This 404-nucleotide ribosomal RNA is filed under the name Fusobacteriota bacterium. RNAcentral's name for it is "Fusobacteria bacterium partial 16S ribosomal RNA". It matches the Rfam family "Bacterial small subunit ribosomal RNA", at positions 355 to 776 of the family's 1533-position model. The record is from RNAcentral. Lineage: Bacteria; Fusobacteriati; Fusobacteriota.
UGGGGAAUAUUGCACAAUGGAGGGAACUCUGAUGCAGCGACGCCGCGUGAGUGAUGAAGGAAUUCGUUUCGUAAAACUCUGUUCUAUGGGAAGAAAAGGACUGUACCAUAGGAGAAAGCUCCGGCUAAAUACGUGCCAGCAGCCGCGGUAAUACGUAUGGAGCGAGCGUUGUCCGGAAUUAUUGGGCGUAAAGGGUGCGCAGGCGGCUUUACAAGUUGGAUGUGAAAUAUUGUGGCUCAACCACAAAUGUGCAUCCAAAACUGCAAAGCUUGAGUUAAGGAGAGGUAAGUGGAAUUCCUGGUGUAGCGGUGGAAUGCGUAGAUAUCAGGAGGAAUACCGGUGGCGAAGGCGACUUACUGGACUUAAACUGACGCUCAGGCACGAAAGCGUGGGGAGCAAACAGG